Molecule: ribosomal RNA, 253 nt
Filed under: uncultured bacterium
Lineage: Bacteria
Description: partial 16S ribosomal RNA
Rfam family: Bacterial small subunit ribosomal RNA
Source: RNAcentral
UACAGAGGGUGCGAGCGUUAAUCGGAAUUACUGGGCGUAAAGGGUGCGUAGGUGGUUAUAUAAGUUAGGUGUGAAAGUCCCGGGCUUAACCUGGGGAUUGCGCCUGAUACUGUGUAGCUAGAGUGCUGUAGAGGAAAGUGGAAUUUCCGGUGUAGCGGUGAAAUGCGUAGAUAUUGGGAGGAACACCGGUGGCGAAGGCGACCACCUGGACGGUAACUGACGCUGAGGCGCGAGAGCGUGGGUAGCAAACAGG